CUACGGGAGGCUGCAGUGAGGAAUAUUGCACAAUGGGGGGAACCCUGAUGCAGCAACGCCGCGUGGAGGAUGACGCAUUUCGGUGUGUAAACUCCUUUUAUAUGUCAAGAAAAUGACGGCAGCAUAUGAAUAAGCACCGGCUAACUCCGUGCCAGCAGCCGCGGUAAUACGGAGGGUGCAAGCGUUACUCGGAAUCACUGGGCGUAAAGGACGCGUAGGCGGGUUGGAAAGUCAGGUGUGAAAUCCUACAGCUUAACUGUAGAACUGCACUUGAAACUUCUAAUCUAGAGUAUGGGAGGGGGAGAUAGAAUUAGUGGUGUAGGGGUAAAAUCCGUAGAUAUCACUAGGAAUACCUAAAGCGAAGGCGAUCUCCUGGAACAUUACUGACGCUAAGGCGUGAAAGCGUGGGGAGCAAACAGGAUUAGAUACCCCCGUAGUC
This 439-nucleotide ribosomal RNA is filed under the name uncultured bacterium. RNAcentral describes it as "partial 16S ribosomal RNA". It matches the Rfam family "Bacterial small subunit ribosomal RNA", at positions 339 to 795 of the family's 1533-position model. The record is from RNAcentral.